AUACCCGCAGCCCAAGUGGUGGUCGAUUUUAUUGAGUCUAAAACGUUCGUAGCCGGUUCAUUAAAUCCUUGGGUAAAUCGGAUGGCUUAACUAUCCGAAUUCCGGGGAGACUGGUGAACUUGGGACCGGGAGAGGCAAGAGGUACUUUUGGGGUAGGGGUAAAAUCCUGUAAUCCUAAAAGGACCACCGGUGGCGAAGGCGUCUUGCUAGAACGGAUCCGACGGUGAGGGACGAAGCCCUGGGUCGCAAACGGGAUUAGAUACCCCGGUAGUCCAGGGUGUAAACGCUGCAGACUUGGUGUUGGGGACCCUUCGGGGGUGUUCAGUGCCGGAGAGAAGUUGUUAAGUCUGCUACUUGGGGAGUACGUCCGCAAGGAUGAAACUCAAAUGAAUUGGCGGGG
RNAcentral lists this ribosomal RNA (400 nucleotides) under uncultured bacterium. RNAcentral's name for it is "partial 16S ribosomal RNA". It matches the Rfam family "Archaeal small subunit ribosomal RNA", at positions 473 to 873 of the family's 1478-position model. The record is from RNAcentral.